This 1331-nucleotide ribosomal RNA is filed under the name Xorides funiuensis. RNAcentral describes it as "16S ribosomal RNA". The record is from RNAcentral. Lineage: Eukaryota; Metazoa; Arthropoda; Insecta; Hymenoptera; Ichneumonidae.
UUUUAUAUUUAUUUUUUAUAUAUUAUAAGUUAGAGAUUAAUUUAUUUUCAAAAAAAUAUUUUUAAAAUUUAUUUAUUUUAGUAUUAAUAAAAAAUAUUAUUUUAUUAAAUUAUUGAAAAAGAAGGUUAUUUAAAUAAAUAAUUAAAUUAGAUAUUAAUUUUUUUUACCUUUUGUAUCAGGGUUGAUUAAAAAAUUUAUUUAAAAAAUUAAUUUCGAAUUUAUAAGAUUUAAUUAGUUAAUUUAGUUAAAGUUUUAUAUUUAUUAAUAAUAAUUAAUUGGAAGAGAAAUUUUAUUCGGUUAUAAAGAUAUCUAAUUAUUUAAUAAAUAAAUUUAAUUUAGAUAAUUUAUUAAUAUUUUAUUAUUUUUAAUUUAAUAUUUUAAUUUAUUAAUAAUUAAAGGGUUAAGCUUUUAAUUAAAUUUAUAAUUUUUUUUUAUUAUAAUAAUAAUAUAAGAAUGAAAUUUUUUUUUAUUUAAAAUAUUGUUAUAAAUUAAUUUAUUUAAAAUAAGAUUUAUUUUAAUUUAAAUUUUUAUUAAAUUAAAUUUUUUAAUUAUUAAAAAAUUUAAAUUAUGAUUAAAUUAGUAUAAUUUUUAAUUGUUUAAUAAUAAUAAAUUAAUAAAAAUAUAUUUUAAUAAUUAGGCAAAAUUAUAUAUAUAUAUAUAUAUAUAUAUAUAUAUUAUUCACCUGUUUAUCAAAAACAUGUCUUUUAUGAUUAAGAUUAUAAGUCUAAUCUGCUCCAUGAUUUUAAAUUAAAUAGCUGCAGUAUUUUAACUGUACUAAGGUAGCAUAAUCAAUAGUUUUUUAAUUAAAAGCUAGAAUGAAUGAUUUAAUGAAAUAAUAACUGUUUUAGAUAUAUUUAUAGAAUUUUUUUUUUAGUUAAAAAGCUAAAUUUAUAUAAAAAGACGAGAAGACCCUAUAGAUUUUAAUAAAUUAGUUUAAUAAUUUGAUUUAAUAUAUUUAUUUAAUUUAUAUAAUUUAUUUGAUUGGGGUGAUUAUUAAAAUUAUUAAACUUUAAUAAUUUAAUACAUUAAUUUAUGAAUAAUUGAUCUUUAAAUUAAGAUUAUAAGAUUAAAAUACCUUAGGGAUAACAGCGUAAUUUUUUUGGAGAGAUCAUAUUGAUAAAAAAGUUUGCGACCUCGAUGUUGAAUUAAGAUUAAAUUUAAGUGAAGAAAUUUAAAAUUUUUGGUCUGUUCGACCAUUAAAAUCUUACAUGAUUUGAGUUCAGAUCGGUGUAAACCAGAUCGGUUUCUAUCUUUUAUAAGUUUUUAUAAUUUUGUACGAAAGGACUUUUUAUAUAAAAUAUUUUUUUUAAAAUGAUGAUUUUUAAUAUUUG